Molecule: long non-coding RNA, 791 nt
Organism: Lathyrus oleraceus (garden pea)
Lineage: Eukaryota; Viridiplantae; Streptophyta; Magnoliopsida; Fabales; Fabaceae
Exons: 2
Source: RefSeq, a predicted model, not a curated record
CAACUUCUCGAUGCCUCCAAUGCAAAUGCAUAUUCUCAAUGACGCCGUCAAAAACACCGCGUGUACCUACAGAGUAUCAUAAGCAGCAGUCAGUUUUGCAUCAUUGCAGUCUAGCAACUCUGGUACAUCUGAAGAUUACCCACCAAGUUGAGCCUCUUUCAUCAUCUUCUCACAUUCUACAGUAGAUAUUUCCCUUCCCCGGAAUACUUGAGCCUCAUUGAACUCAGACAACAGUUCUGUUUGUGCAUUUGUUUCAUCUUCGCCAGUUACAUCAACAGCUCUGCAUCGCACCUUCUUCUGAACAUCCUGCACCUGUUUCGUCAAUUGCUGUCUUUCAGAUAAAAUGGCAGCCACAUUGGCUGGAACGAAAUCCUUCCCUCGAUAUAUUACGAUGUAAUAUUUAUUCCUUAGCAGUAAGGUACCUCCUGUUAAUUUCUGGACCAGAGAAAAUACUUUUCAAAUCAAUUAAUAGAAUUACUGUAUUAUUCUUUUUUCUUAGAAUAUUGACUUGGGAACAAAAGAAUGCACCAUGUUACUGAGGGGGUGCUUGGAAGAACUUAUUUAGGCUUAUCCUAUCUUAUGUCACAAAUGCUUAGGCAAAUGUUUGGAAGGGCUUGUAUAAAUAGCUCACAAUAUGACCGCAAGUUGUUUUUCAGCUUAUGUGAGGUUUACACUCCUUCCCAUGAUAUAUUACAAUGUGAUACUUAUUCCUUGGCGGAUUCUCCUGUUAAUUACUGGACCAAAGAAAAAAACUUUUCAAUUCAAUAAAACUGCUGUAUUAUUUUCUUUUC